This 440-nucleotide ribosomal RNA is filed under the name uncultured bacterium. RNAcentral's name for it is "bacterial SSU rRNA". It matches the Rfam family "Bacterial small subunit ribosomal RNA", at positions 958 to 1401 of the family's 1533-position model. The record is from RNAcentral.
AACGCGAAGAACCUUACCUGGGCUUGACAUGUGAGUGACCGCCGUGGAAACACGGUUUCCCUUCGGGGCACUUUCACAGGUGGUGCAUGGCUGUCGUCAGCUCGUGUCGUGAGAUGUUGGGUUAAGUCCCGCAACGAGCGCAACCCCCGUCGCAUGUUGCCAGCAUUUAGUUGGGGACUCAUGCGAGACUGCCGGUGACAAACCGGAGGAAGGUGGGGAUGACGUCAAGUCAUCAUGCCCCUUAUGUCCAGGGCUACACACGUGCUACAUUGGCGCGUACAGAGGGCUGCGAUACCGCGAGGUGGAGCGAAUCCCUUAAAGCGCGUCUCGGUUCGGAUUGCAGGCUGAAACCCGCCUGCAUGAAGGCGGAGUUGCUAGUAAUCGCGGAUCAGCACUGCCGCGGUGAAUACGUUCCCGGGCCUUGUACACACCGCUACAGU